Molecule: ribosomal RNA, 495 nt
Filed under: uncultured bacterium
Lineage: Bacteria
Description: partial 16S ribosomal RNA
Rfam family: Bacterial small subunit ribosomal RNA
Source: RNAcentral
GACGAACGCUGGCGGCGUGCCUAAUACAUGCAAGUAGAACGCUGAAGGAGGAGCUUGCUCUUCUGGAUGAGUUGCGAACGGGUGAGUAACGCGUAGGUAACCUGCCUGGUAGCGGGGGAUAACUAUUGGAAACGAUAGCUAAUACCGCAUAACAUUGACUAUUGCAUGAUAGUCAAUUAAAAGGUGCAAAUGCACCACUACCAGAUGGACCUGCGUUGUAUUAGCUAGUUGGUGGGGUAACGGCUCACCAAGGCGACGAUACAUAGCCGACCUGAGAGGGUAAGCGGCCACGCUGGGACUGAGACACGGCCCAGACUCCUACGGGAGGCAGCAGUAGGGAAUCUUCGGCAAUGGACGGAAGUCUGACCGAGCAACGCCGCGUGAGUGAAGAAGGUUUUCGUAUCGUAAAGCUCUGUUGUAAGAGAAGAACGAGUGUGUGAGUGGAAAGUUCACACUGUGACGGUAUCUUACCAGAAAGGGACGGCUAACUACGUG